This 228-nucleotide ribosomal RNA is filed under the name Alexandrium margalefii. RNAcentral describes it as "partial Bacterial large subunit ribosomal RNA". It matches the Rfam family "Bacterial large subunit ribosomal RNA", at positions 774 to 1000 of the family's 2925-position model. The record is from RNAcentral. Lineage: Eukaryota; Dinophyceae; Gonyaulacales; Pyrocystaceae.
CCGAACCCGCAUCUGUUGCAAUAGAUUGGGAUGACUUGUGGUUAGGGGUGAAAGGCCAAUCAAACUCGGAGAUAGCUGGUUCUCCGCGAAAUCUAUUUAGGUAGAGCGUCGACCGAAUACCCUCGGGGGUAGAGCACUGGAUGGGCUAUGGGGACUCACCGUCUUACUGAUCCUAACCAAACUCCGAAUACCGAGGAGUACUAGUCGGCAGACACACGGCGGGUGCUA